This 968-nucleotide ribosomal RNA is filed under the name Purpureocillium takamizusanense. RNAcentral describes it as "SSU rRNA". It matches the Rfam family "Eukaryotic small subunit ribosomal RNA", at positions 82 to 1060 of the family's 1831-position model. Lineage: Eukaryota; Fungi; Ascomycota; Sordariomycetes; Hypocreales; Ophiocordycipitaceae. The record is from RNAcentral.
CGAAACUGCGAAUGGCUCAUUAUAUAAGUUAUCGUUUAUUUGAUAGCACCUUACUACUUGGAUAACCGUGGUAAUUCUAGAGCUAAUACAUGCUAAAAAUCCCGACUCCGGAAGGGAUGUAUUUAUUAGAUUAAAAACCAAUGCCCUCUGGGCUCUCUGGUGAUUCAUGAUAACUUCUCGAAUCGCAUGGCCUUGCGCCGGCGAUGGUUCAUUCAAAUUUCUUCCCUAUCAACUUUCGAUGUUUGGGUAGUGGCCAAACAUGGUUGCAACGGGUAACGGAGGGUUAGGGCUCGACCCCGGAGAAGGAGCCUGAGAAACGGCUACUACAUCCAAGGAAGGCAGCAGGCGCGCAAAUUACCCAAUCCCGACACGGGGAGGUAGUGACAAUAAAUACUGAUACAGGGCUCUUUUGGGUCUUGUAAUUGGAAUGAGUACAAUUUAAAUCCCUUAACGAGGAACAAUUGGAGGGCAAGUCUGGUGCCAGCAGCCGCGGUAAUUCCAGCUCCAAUAGCGUAUAUUAAAGUUGUUGUGGUUAAAAAGCUCGUAGUUGAACCUUGGGCCUGGCUGGCCGGUCCGCCUCACCGCGUGCACUGGUCCGGCCGGGCCUUUCCCUCUGUGGAACCCCAUGCCCUUCACUGGGUGUGGCGGGGAAACAGGACUUUUACUUUGAAAAAAUUAGAGUGCUCCAGGCAGGCCUAUGCUCGAAUACAUUAGCAUGGAAUAAUGAAAUAGGACGUGCGGUUCUAUUUUGUUGGUUUCUAGGACCGCCGUAAUGAUUAAUAGGGACAGUCGGGGGCAUCAGUAUUCAAUUGUCAGAGGUGAAAUUCUUGGAUUUAUUGAAGACUAACUACUGCGAAAGCAUUUGCCAAGGAUGUUUUCAUUAAUCAGGAACGAAAGUUAGGGGAUCGAAGACGAUCAGAUACCGUCGUAGUCUUAACCAUAAACUAUGCCGACUAGGGAUCGGACGA